Molecule: long non-coding RNA, 645 nt
Organism: Cyanistes caeruleus (blue tit)
Lineage: Eukaryota; Metazoa; Chordata; Aves; Passeriformes; Paridae
Source: RefSeq, a predicted model, not a curated record
GGGAGCCGGGAUGUCAUUUCUUCCUUCCUUAUUCCUCUCCCCCCGGCCAGGGGCUUGCCCAUUGCGUCCCGCAGGCUUCGCUCCGCUCCCGGGCCGGCGCGGUGCCGCGUGGCUGUGUCCGGAAGAGCUCCGUGUCCCUGCGCAGAGCGGCGCGCAGGCCGUGGCCCGCAGGCCGUGAAGGCCGGCUGUGGGAGGCGGCUGCCCCAGGAGCCCCCGCCGUGGCCUCACCCACACGGGCACGCGUGGCAGCGCCUGCCCUCGCACACAGGCUGGGAAUGCCCACAUCCCUGCCCCAGCGUCCCAGCAGGACAUUGAGGGAGCCCGUCUUGGGGAAAGUAUUGCUCUUCCAGACGGUUUUCAGACCAAAUAAGUAUUUAUUUUUUUCGUUUGGCUUGUAUGAGCCCCACAGUUUUGGCUCCGUAUUGAAACUGCGGCAAAUAAAUUAACCAGUAGUCCUAGCCGUGAUGGAGAUGCUGAGACCCAGGAAAACUUGAAAAGACAACAGCUUAUUUUUGUUUUCUACAUGGUCUGAGCAGGAUGGCAGGAAUUUAUUUGAUCUGAGUUUGCACAGCACAAAAUGAAGUUCUGUCUUGUCAACCAUAACUCCUCAGCAAUGUGGGAAUACAUUAAAGACAUCAGCAACAU